This 77-nucleotide transfer RNA is filed under the name Ignavibacteriales bacterium CG_4_9_14_3_um_filter_30_11. RNAcentral's name for it is "tRNA-Glu". It matches the Rfam family "tRNA". Rfam says of the family: Transfer RNA (tRNA) molecules are approximately 80 nucleotides in length. The record is from RNAcentral. RNAcentral also lists the same sequence under 5 other names. Lineage: Bacteria; Pseudomonadati; Ignavibacteriota; Ignavibacteria; Ignavibacteriales.
GGCGCGUUCGUCUAGUGGCUUAGGACGCCGCCCUCUCAAGGCGGAGAUCACGGGUUCGAAUCCCGUACGCGCUACCA